CUUGCGGCCAUAUCACGUUGAAAAACCGAUCCCUGUAUGAUCAACGGAGUUAAGAAACGUCAAGCCUGGCCAGUACCUAGACGAGUGACCACUUGGGAAUACCAGGCGCUGUAAG
Acanthosepion pharaonis is the source of this 115-nucleotide non-coding RNA. NCBI's taxonomy places the organism in Eukaryota, Metazoa, Mollusca, Cephalopoda, Sepiida, Sepiidae. The record is from the annotation of a GenBank genome assembly.